GGAAAUUUGCUCUGGGGAUAAAUGGCUUUCCUUCAUCAGAGGUAUUCCAAAGACACCAUGCAGACAAAUACACUUACACCACAGAUGACACAAAAAUAAACUCAUGGAAGGAUGUCAUAUCCAGGAACCCUACUAUUUUAUGAGAGUGGAAACCUGGACUUUGUUGGGUUACCUUCACAGCAUUGAAUAGAGAUUAAAACCCAUUCUGAAUUUCCUCUCAUUCUUUCCCAGGCAAAGAAUCACACAGAGAACUUCUUCAAUGUAGCAGGUACUACAAGAUAUACUUCUAUAGAAGCUUGCAUUCCUGAGCUGGACAUCAGAUGAGCAUCUUCAUCCUGUGUCUCAGAAGGCAAAGAGUCACACAGAACUUCUUUGCUGUAAAAAGCGCUACAAUAUAUGAUUCUAUAGGAGCUGUGUUCCUGAUGUGGCCAUCAGAUGAUCAUCUUCAUCCUGUGUCUCAGAAGGUGGGAUUCUUGCAACCAUGGACUUCUUAAAAUUCUCUUUUCCCUUCUUCUGUGUACAUUGUCUCCUAAAGCCAACAUGACUGAUUAAUUUUUUGAAGACUGAAAUUUUACUCAAAUUGCUUAAUAUUUUCUUUUAUCUCAAAGAAAUGUCUGUUUUCUAGAUUUACUCUUAGCAGAAAACUGCAUUCAAUGUCACUUAUGUACAUGAGAUGUUAAAUUUUAUCUGGUGGAUGGAGGCCCUCAUGUUCCUAUAGUAAACAUAUAAAUGAGCAAAGUGGAGACUGAGCAUCAGCUUGCAAAGGGUAUAAUAGUGAUUGUGUUAAUAAUUAAGGCAGGAAUCUGGAGAUAAUGCAGGUAAAACUCUGGAAUCUGGCUUUAUAGAACAAAAAUUAAGAUUGGGAAAAUAUGAAUGAAUGAAACUUGUUAGCAAGUGGAUUUUUUGACAUGGCAGAUAAAUAGGUAAACAUAUGUUCAUCUGUGUGAUGAGAACACAGGUGGCUUUAUCAGAAAUAUUUCAUAUUUUGUUGUGUGGCUGAGUAGUACAAAAGAUCCUCAAAAGCCAACAACUUAACAUUCUACAUCUUAAUUCAGUUACAAAACCUUAUGGAUUAUUAUAUGUAAUCAUACAUCCUAUUAAUAUACACAUUGUUUUUAACAUGUUGCUAUGAGG
Molecule: long non-coding RNA, 1134 nt
Filed under: Mus spicilegus (steppe mouse)
Lineage: Eukaryota; Metazoa; Chordata; Mammalia; Rodentia; Muridae
Description: lncRNA (ENSMSIG00000001093.1)
Source: RNAcentral